GAUGAACGCUGGCGGCGUGCCUAAUACAUGCAAGUCGAGCGAACGGACGAGAAGCUUGCUUCUCUGAUGUUAGCGGCGGACGGGUGAGUAACACGUGGAUAACCCACCUAUAAGACUGGGAUAACUUCGGGAAACCGGAGCUAAUACCGGAUAAUAUUUUGAACCGCAUGGUUCAAAAGUGAAAGACGGUCUUGCUGUCACUUAUAGAUGGAUCCGCGCUGCAUUAGCUAGUUGGUAAGGUAACGGCUUACCAAGGCAACGACGCAUAGCCGACCUGAGAGGGUGAUCGGCCACACUGGAACUGAGACACGGUCCAGACUCCUACGGGAGGCAGCAGUAGGGAAUCUUCCGCAAUGGGCGAAAGCCUGACGGAGCAACGCCGCGUGAGUGAUGAAGGUCUUCGGAUCGUAAAACUCUGUUAUUAGGGAAGAACAUAUGUGUAAGUAACUGUGCACAUCUUGACGGUACCUAAUCAGAAAGCCACGGCUAACUACGUGCCAGCAGCCGCGGUAAUACGUAGGUGGCAAGCGUUAUCCGGAAUUAUUGGGCGUAAAGCGCGCGUAGGCGGUUUUUUAAGUCUGAUGUGAAAGCCCACGGCUCAACCGUGGAGGGUCAUUGGAAACUGGAAAACUUGAGUGCAGAAGAGGAAAGUGGAAUUCCAUGUGUAGCGGUGAAAUGCGCAGAGAUAUGGAGGAACACCAGUGGCGAAGGCGACUUUCUGGUCUGUAACUGACGCUGAUGUGCGAAAGCGUGGGGAUCAAACAGGAUUAGAUACCCUGGUAGUCCACGCCGUAAACGAUGAGUGCUAAGUGUUAGGGGGUUUCCGCCCCUUAGUGCUGCAGCUAACGCAUUAAGCACUCCGCCUGGGGAGUACGACCGCAAGGUUGAAACUCAAAGGAAUUGACGGGGACCCGCACAAGCGGUGGAGCAUGUGGUUUAAUUCGAAGCAACGCGAAGAACCUUACCAAAUCUUGACAUCCUUUGACAACUCUAGAGAUAGAGCCUUCCCCUUCGGGGGACAAAGUGACAGGUGGUGCAUGGUUGUCGUCAGCUCGUGUCGUGAGAUGUUGGGUUAAGUCCCGCAACGAGCGCAACCCUUAAGCUUAGUUGCCAUCAUUAAGUUGGGCACUCUAAGUUGACUGCCGGUGACAAACCGGAGGAAGGUGGGGAUGACGUCAAAUCAUCAUGCCCCUUAUGAUUUGGGCUACACACGUGCUACAAUGGACAAUACAAAGGGCAGCGAAACCGCGAGGUCAAGCAAAUCCCAUAAAGUUGUUCUCAGUUCGGAUUGUAGUCUGCAACUCGACUACAUGAAGCUGGAAUCGCUAGUAAUCGUAGAUCAGCAUGCUACGGUGAAUACGUUCCCGGGUCU
RNAcentral lists this ribosomal RNA (1372 nucleotides) under uncultured bacterium. RNAcentral describes it as "bacterial SSU rRNA". It matches the Rfam family "Bacterial small subunit ribosomal RNA", at positions 28 to 1381 of the family's 1533-position model. The record is from RNAcentral.